RNAcentral lists this small RNA (1369 nucleotides) under Histoplasma capsulatum. Its description in RNAcentral is "hypothetical RNA". The record is from RNAcentral. Lineage: Eukaryota; Fungi; Ascomycota; Eurotiomycetes; Onygenales; Ajellomycetaceae. RNAcentral also lists the same sequence under 1 other name.
GGGCAAGUCAAAACAGUAUAUUGUUUUGAUGCUCGGGUUUUAUUUUGAAAUUUUUUUUUCAUCCUUCCUCUCUGUUUCUUCAGGGUCUUUAUUUACCGCUUUGCCGUGUGUGGUUGUUGCAGGAUGGCGGAGGCCCCUAAUCAAUCAUAGUUCUCUAGUUGGUUAACUAACUUCUGUGAACUUUAGCACUUUGUGCUUUUGUGAGGGACUAGCUUGUGUUUGACUUGUUUGUCUUAGAUGGUUAUCAUAUUAUCAGUGUUGAGGCGUAAAAUGAUUUGAGAGAUCGUGGUUUGAUAAAGUUUUUGUGGUGAAGCUUAUUUAACAGAUUAUUGUGGAGAAGUUGGUUUGUGGAGAAGAGAGUUUCAGGCCAACCAGUGGGUGAAGUGGCAGGUUUUACGCUGUAGUGCUGGAUUAUUAUCCAAUACCAUGAAGCGGAUAGGGAUAGAAUCGGAUAUGGAUGGUAUGGGUCACUGGUAAUCAUUUGAUGAUAUCAUAUUAUCAUAUGAUAAUUUGCCGGGUUUAACUAAAAGGGUUAAAAAAAUAAACUAAAAUAAAAAAUAAAACAAGGUGGACAAAUCAUUGGGUAUAUAUACACACACGGAAUGCAGACGAUAUGCAGACGAUGCAGGAGAGGGAAAAAGAAAACUAAAAGAGGAAAGAGAAAAGAAAAAGAAAUAAUUGAAACACACAGCAGAAGGCAAGUGGGAAAUAUUUCAUAAAGUGGACAUAGAUAUACUGCGCAGGUUUGGGACGAUCAAUCGAUUGAAUGGACUGAGGCUAGAGAGAGACGGAGGUGGGGACUGAUAGAUGGACAGACCCAAUCUUAGAUUGGUUUGCACUACACUAUUUUCCGCGAUCUGUUGAGGAUCAGUAGAUUUUGUAUCUGAGAGAAAGGUGAAGAUAGGUUCAAAUGGAAAUAAAAUGAUAAAUAGAAAACAAAAUAGGUUAUGGUAUACAUGCAGAACAAACAAAAAAGAAAGAAAAAGAACUUAGUGCCAUGCUCCUGUGUAUCUAUCCCCAUGCUUUCGCCUUUCUUUGGUUUUGGGUUGUUGGUUCUAUUUUGUCUGCUGCUUGAUGACACUUUUCAGAUAAAACAUGGGGCAAGGUGCAAUUUGGGAGGGUAAUAACAUGUUGAGAAACAAAUGAACAGAAUAGGAAAGAAACAAAAAUGCAUGCAAGUUGAAUGGGGUCAGGUCAAUUGGAUUGGUAUCUGUUGUUCCAUAGCUGUUUGCUAUUGUUGUUGAUUUUCGCUUGCAAGGGACAAAAGUGUUCAAUAGUCAGAAGGGGUAUUUUAGUUCACCCGUGAUGAGGAGGUAAACUACGCUGAUAGAAGAAAUGCAUUUAGAGCAAAGUAAAAAAAGUCAAGGCG